This 333-nucleotide unclassified non-coding RNA is filed under the name uncultured fungus. RNAcentral describes it as "partial contains small subunit ribosomal RNA, internal transcribed spacer 1, and 5.8S ribosomal RNA". The stretch from base 1 to 72 matches the Rfam family "Eukaryotic small subunit ribosomal RNA", at positions 1760 to 1831 of the family's 1831-position model. Lineage: Eukaryota; Fungi. The record is from RNAcentral.
GCAAACUUGUCAUUUAGAGGAAGUAAAAGUCGUAACAAGGUCUCCGUUGGUGAACCAGCGGAGGGAUCAUUACAAGAAGCGCCGCGAGGCUGCUUUACAACCAUAGCGAACCAAUCCGUCAGCGUUGCUUCGGCGGGAGAGACGCCCCGGGCCCACGCCCAGGAGCGCCGUGGCGGCCUGCGCGCCCAACUCUUCAGUGGGUGGGGAGCCGGCCGCCGCCCGCCGGAGGUCCAAAACUCUUCUGUAACCUCUGUGGAAUCUCUGAGUACUAGCAAAUAAAUCAAAACUUUCAACAACGGAUCUCUUGGCUCUGGCAUCGAUGAAGAACGCAGC